GCAUUGGUUGUUCAGUGGUAGAAUUCUCAGCUUCUAUGCAGGAGAUCCAGGUUCAAUUCCCAGCCAAAGCA
Molecule: transfer RNA, 71 nt
Filed under: Loxodonta africana (African savanna elephant)
Lineage: Eukaryota; Metazoa; Chordata; Mammalia; Proboscidea; Elephantidae
Rfam family: tRNA
About the family: Transfer RNA (tRNA) molecules are approximately 80 nucleotides in length.
Source: Rfam by way of RNAcentral